UACGGAGGGCGCGAGCGUUAAUCGGAAUUACUGGGCGUAAAGCGCGCGUAGGCUGUUGUGUAAGUUGGGGGUGAAGUCCCACGGCUCAACCGUGGAACAGCCCUUGAUACUGCGCGACUUGAAUCCGGGAGAGGGUGGCGGAAUUCCAGGUGUAGGAGUGAAAUCCGUAGAUAUCUGGAGGAACAUCAGUGGCGAAGGCGGCCACCUGGACCGGUAUUGACGCUGAGGCGCGAAAGCGUGGGGAGCAAACAGG
RNAcentral lists this ribosomal RNA (253 nucleotides) under uncultured bacterium. RNAcentral describes it as "partial 16S ribosomal RNA". It matches the Rfam family "Bacterial small subunit ribosomal RNA", at positions 524 to 776 of the family's 1533-position model. The record is from RNAcentral.